GAUGAACGCUGGCGGCGUGCUUAACACAUGCAAGUCGAACGGAAAGGCCCAAGCUUGCUUGGGUACUCGAGUGGCGAACGGGUGAGUAACACGUGGGUGAUCUGCCCUGCACUUUGGGAUAAGCCUGGGAAACUGGGUCUAAUACCGGAUAGGACCACCUUUUGGAUGGUGUGGUGGAAAGUUUUUCGGGGUGGGAUGAGCUCGCGGCCUAUCAGCUUGUUGGUGGGGUAAUGGCCUACCAAGGCGUCGGCGGGUAGCCGGCCUGAGGGGGUGUACGGCCACAUUGGGGCUGAGAUACGGCCCAGACUCCUACGGGAGGCAGCAGUGGGGAAUAUUGCACAAUGGGCGCGAGCCUGAUGCAGCGACGGCGCGUGGGGGAUGACGGCCUUCGGGUUGGAAACUCCUUUCGCCAUGGACGAAACGGUAUGUGACGGUACCUGGAGAAGAAGCACCGGCUAACUACGUG
RNAcentral lists this ribosomal RNA (466 nucleotides) under uncultured bacterium. RNAcentral describes it as "partial 16S ribosomal RNA". It matches the Rfam family "Bacterial small subunit ribosomal RNA", at positions 28 to 507 of the family's 1533-position model. The record is from RNAcentral.